GCUUGCGUAGCUCAACCGGAUAGAGCAUCGGUCUUCUAAACCGAGGGUUAUGUGUUCGAGUCACAUCGUGAGUA
Molecule: transfer RNA, 74 nt
Rfam family: tRNA
About the family: Transfer RNA (tRNA) molecules are approximately 80 nucleotides in length.
Source: Rfam